Oryzias javanicus (javanese ricefish) is the source of this 1553-nucleotide long non-coding RNA. The record is from Ensembl. Lineage: Eukaryota; Metazoa; Chordata; Actinopteri; Beloniformes; Adrianichthyidae.
GAGAGCUGUGCAGAGAAGUCAACUUCAUCAUGAUGAAGCCUCACCUGCUUUUCACACUGAUGUGUAAGUGUCUCCUUUGAGUUUUUAGUUUGAACUUUUAUUUAAAGGUUAAUCAAACUAAAAAUUUCAAACAACGAUGCUUUGGUGUUUUCUUGUUUCAACAGAUUUCUGUCUGGAGUUGGAAGCACACGAUCUUUCUCCACCCAAACUGACAGUGGAUGUAUCUGUGAUCAAAAAAACAGAUUCAGUGACAUUAAAGUGUCAGAGUUCAUCUACAGAGUCUACUUCUGAGUGUUCUUUCUUCGCUCAAAGUGAAACGCUCUUUGUGGGCCGCUGUCUGCAGAACAUAACAGGAGCUGAAAUUCUGAUACGAACUAAAAGAAGAUCUCCUGCUACCGUUGAAGUUAGAUGUUCUUACACUGUAAAGGAAGGAAAUUUCCAUUUUACAUCUGUAGAGAGUGAUCCAUCCACCAUUGAGAUAAACAAUCUUCUUAGACCUGAUCUGACCGUGAAUCCACGUCUGAUCUCAGAAAAGGAUUCAGUCACAUUAAACUGUCAGACUUCAGUGUCUUUGACUGAAUGUUCGUGGCAUUUUAAGGGAAAAAGUCGAGCCCGACGUUUCUCUUGUUCUAAGACACUGACUGGAGCUGAGCUGAUAGAAAUUACGAGUCUAAGAGUUCCUGCUAAAGUCCGAGUUUCGUGCUCUUACCUUGAUGGUACAAAAUCUCCAGAAAGUGAACAGAAGACCAUCACUAUCCAGCUUCCUCAGCCUGAACUAAGAGUGAAUCCAGCUGUGAUCACAGAGAGAGACUCGGCCACACUGAACUGUGUGUCUCCAUCAUCUCUUUCUGUCUCUGAAUGUCAUUUCUACUUUUUGAAAACAAAAACCACAAAAAGCAGCUCCUGCAUGCAGACGCUGACAGCAGCUGAACUUCUGUCCAUGUCUAGUCAAAGAUCACCUGCUGAUGUUGAACUAACGUGUUUUUACUCUGUGGAAGAGCAAGAAGGAAACUCUCAGUCUCCACGCAGCAAUGUCAGCUACAUCCACAUCAGUGUGGUAAGAAAAAGGACGUUAGUGACUUCAGCAGACAGUUGGUCUGGAGAUUUAACUACUGGAACACCAAAGAUCUCUGGUACUCCAUCAUCUACGUCUUUCACAUCAGUGAAUCCUGAUUCAGAAAAUCCACAGAUCCAUCUUUCUAACGGAGAAGAAUGGAAAAAGCUCUUAGCUUUUCCAGUUUUUGUGGUCGCUGUUUGUGCAAUCGUCCUGGGAUGGACUCUCUUUUGGUCCAAUAGAGAAAGUGGUAAGAACAGCGACGACUCCUGUGAGAUUUAAAGAAGAUAACUUGCUGCUCUUUCAUCUGCUGGUUAAUGUCAUGGAAAACCAAAAAACCUCACUCGCCUCACUUAUCUGUUAGUUUUGUACUUUCAUCUCAAGUCACAUGGCUGAAAAUAUAAAAAGUACAACCAAGUUUCUGAGAGUUUUUUAUUUAUUUUCUAACUUAAAGUCAGUUUAAUUGUCAAGACAGAGGCAUUACAUUUGUCAAUUUCCU